GGGAUAGCAAAGGAGGAAGAGAAGAAAAUCUUCUGAAAUGUGAGCAAAUACAUUUUGUCCCCAAGUCUCUAAGAUAUCCAUGAACAUAUUUUCCUAUGUGGGUGGGAAGAUCUCAUAAGGACACAGCUAGAUGAUCUGUAGAUGAGUAAGACUUUAAGGUGAUUGCCACUACAAUUACGUUUUCCCACCCAGAAGUUUUCAAGACUGUUUUCCCACUUGAUUGGCUGCUUGAGGCCUCUGGGAAUUUCAGGAGAAAAGCAAAAUAGUUGUCAAAGAAUGAAAAUGCAGAAGAGAAGGAGCCCCACACAACUGAGAGUGCUAAACUAAAAGAAAAGCCUUGAAGGAGUCAGGGGACAAAGAGAAAGAUCAGUAAAACAUCGACCCAAAUAUUCACAGUAACAACAGAGAGAGCUCUGAGACCCCUUGUGUAUAAGCCAGGCAUUUCUGUAAAGCAAUUGGGCCUGAGCUGACAGAGAAGAUUUCAGAGAAAUCUUCAGAGAAGAUUUCUCACUUUCUAGAGCUGCUGAAGGUCCUGGGUAGUUAGAGUCUAAGCCAAAUCCAACCCAUUUCUGCCCCACAUGAGCCAAAUUUGUGAGGCCUGCUCAUUCCUCCUUGUCCUGGUCCCAGUACGUUCAAAAGCCAUAUUCAGUGCUGCUGGUGAGACUGGGCCCAGGGACAGACCAAAGCGUGCGGGUGAUAUUAAUGCAGGCAGUGUGGAGCACUACACCUUCUCAGAGCGGAUCUGGACAGCUUCCCAGUCGAUACAUCCUUGCAUCUCAUUUCAGAACAAGGAGACAGUGAAAGGCCCGUCUGGUGCGGCGGCUCCUCUCCCCAGCCCCACACAAGCCUCCUUCCUAAGAAGCCUUCUGAAAAGCCUCUGCUCACCAACCCCACUUAACGAUGACACCAUUUUUUCCAUCCUGACUUUCUCAUCUUUGAUUACGUCAUCCUCUUCUAGAUAAGUGUGAGUGUUUGUUAACAUAAUGACAUUACCGUCCAAUUUUAGCAAAGCAAUUAAGGAUGUAUUUAAUUUGAAGAAUCUCAGUUGUUU
This 1051-nucleotide long non-coding RNA is filed under the name Anser brachyrhynchus (Pink-footed goose). Its description in RNAcentral is "lncRNA (ENSABRG00000016817.1)". Lineage: Eukaryota; Metazoa; Chordata; Aves; Anseriformes; Anatidae. The record is from RNAcentral.